RNAcentral lists this ribosomal RNA (842 nucleotides) under uncultured archaeon. RNAcentral describes it as "bacterial SSU rRNA". It matches the Rfam family "Archaeal small subunit ribosomal RNA", at positions 63 to 910 of the family's 1478-position model. The record is from RNAcentral.
UGUAGUAAUACAAGGCAGACGGCUCAGUAACGCGUAGUCAACCUACCCUAUGGACGGGGAUAACCUCGGGAAACUGAGAAUAAUACCCGAUAGAACAUUAUGCCUGGAAUGGUUUAUGUUUCAAAUAAUUUAUUGCCGUAGGAUGGGACUGCGGCCUAUCAGUUUGUUGGUGAGGUAAUGGCCCACCAAGACUAUUACAGGUACGGGCUCUGAGAGGAGUAGCCCGGAGAUGGGUACUGAGACACGGACCCAGGCCCUAUGGGGCGCAGCAGGCGAGAAAACUUUGCAAUGUGCGAAAGCACGACAAGGUUAAUCCGAGUGGUUUCUGCUAAAGGAACCUUUUGUCAGUCCUAGAAACACUGAUGAAUAAGGGGUGGGCAAGUUCUGGUGUCAGCCGCCGCGGUAAAACCAGCACCUCAAGUGGUCAGGAUGAUUAUUGGGCCUAAAGCAUCCGUAGCCUGCUUUGUCAGUUUUCGGUUAAAUCCAUACGCUCAACGUAUGGGCUGCCGGGAAUACUGCAAAGCUAGGGAGUGGGAGAGGUAGACGGUACUCGGUAGGAAGGGGUAAAAUCCUUUGAUCUAUUGAUGACCACCUGUGGCGAAGGCGGUCUACCAGAACACGUCCGACGGUGAGGGAUGAAAGCUGGGGGAGCAAACCGGAUUAGAUACCCGGGUAGUCCCAGCUGUAAACUAUGCAAACUCAGUGAUGCAUUGGCUUGAUGCCAAUGCAGUGCUGCAGGGAAGCCGUUAAGUUUGCCGCCUGGGAAGUACGUACGCAAGUAUGAAACUUAAAGGAAUUGGCGGGGGAGCACCACAAGGGGUGAAGCCUGCGGUUCAAUUGGA